Molecule: ribosomal RNA, 735 nt
Filed under: uncultured Fusobacterium sp.
Lineage: Bacteria; Fusobacteriati; Fusobacteriota; Fusobacteriia; Fusobacteriales; Fusobacteriaceae
Description: bacterial SSU rRNA
Rfam family: Bacterial small subunit ribosomal RNA
Source: RNAcentral
GAUGAACGCUGACAGAAUGCUUAACACAUGCAAGUCUACUUGAAUUUGGGUUUUUAACUUAGGUUUGGGUGGCGGACGGGUGAGUAACGCGUAAAGAACUUGCCUCACAGCUAGGGACAACAUUUAGAAAUGAAUGCUAAUACCUAAUAUUAUGAUAAUAGGGCAUCCUAUAAUUAUGAAAGCUAUAAGCGCUGUGAGAGAGCUUUGCGUCCCAUUAGCUAGUUGGAGAGGUAACGGCUCACCAAGGCGAUGAUGGGUAGCCGGCCUGAGAGGGUGAUCGGCCACAAGGGGACUGAGACACGGCCCUUACUCCUACGGGAGGCAGCAGUGGGGAAUAUUGGACAAUGGACCGAGAGUCUGAUCCAGCAAUUCUGUGUGCACGAUGAAGUUUUUCGGAAUGUAAAGUGCUUUCAGUUGGGAAGAAAGAAAUGACGGUACCAACAGAAGAAGUGACGGCUAAAUACGUGCCAGCAGCCGCGGUAAUACGUAUGUCACGAGCGUUAUCCGGAUUUAUUGGGCGUAAAGCGCGUCUAGGUGGUUAUAUAAGUCUGAUGUGAAAAUGCAGGGCUCAACUCUGUAUUGCGUUGGAAACUGUAUAACUAGAGUACUGGAGUGGUAAGCGGAACUACAAGUGUAGAGGUGAAAUUCGUAGAUAUUUGUAGGAAUGCCGAUGGGGAAGCCAGCUUACUGGACAGAUACUGACGCUGAAGCGCGAAAGCGUGGGUAGCAAACAGG